ACCAGAACGGCCCGUUCUGAAACCAGAACGGCCCGUUCUGGUUACACCAUUGGUGUGUUAAUUUUGCCUCUGGAACGGCAAAAUUAACACAUAAAUGUACAAUCAGAACGGGCCGUUCUGGUUUCAGAACGGGCAGUUCUGGU
This 143-nucleotide microRNA precursor is filed under the name Cajanus cajan (pigeon pea). RNAcentral's name for it is "miRNA gene-KK1_050169". Lineage: Eukaryota; Viridiplantae; Streptophyta; Magnoliopsida; Fabales; Fabaceae. The record is from RNAcentral.